UUGCGGGCCGCUGCUCCACAGAAUUAGCUGUGGUUAUCGUCGAUAAUCGGGCUGUAAGAUGUCCAGCCCAAUUUGCAAAGCAUAUCAUUCAUACGUGAACUUGCAGGUCGCCCAGGUCUCUUCGUCUAUCCCCGAGCGCCGGCCCUAUCCCUAUCCCUGAGCUCCUCUCUGUUGGUCGAGGCUGCGCCGCCACCGUCCUCAAUCCCGGCGGCGAGCUUCCGCGCCCUCCGAUACCCAUCUACUCUUCCUCUGCAGGCCCCCAUGCUGGUGGCUGUGGUAACGGGACUGACGGCGAAGGAGAUUCGACAAAGCCGAUCGCGACGAGCACCUCAUCCUCCUUUUACUCCGCAGGAUCAGCGUCCCCUUUUCUUUUGUGUCUGACCAACAGGGUAGGAUGACGUUGUUGAUUUGUUGUACUGAUGCGUGAUCGGGCAUCUCCGGAGGAUGUAAUUGGAACAUUAGCUAGGCCAUGGACAACACAUUGUAGAGGCCAUUAAUAUGUAGCAAAGCCAUUUUAUGAGGUCGUCGUUGACAACAACGUUAUGCUCAACUUUGAGAGCCAAUCUUCUUUUAUCCGUAUUCAACUCUUGUUGGUAACAUAUUCAUCUCUUGUUAGGCACGCUUAUACGCUGAUGUUACAUUUUUGCAGGAUUUUGAUGUUUGUGCAUCGGAGAGCUUCCUUGAUGCUGGCAUCAGCUUGGAAGUUGUUGCUUUUCAGAGAACUCUGGGAACCAUAUAUCCUUCACAAGGCAUACAAUUAUUCAGAAGAAUACUAACUGUUAGUCGUGCUUAGAUGCUUCAUAUUCCAUUUAUUUACUGCCCCCAAACGUACUAUAACAAACAAUCAUCUUCGUAUUUGAGGCAUUGCAGUUUCGGACACUCGUACGUCUUAGAUAUAUUUGUACCAUCUAAAUUUAUGGCAGAUAUUUCUCCUAUUUUUUAUUAAAAUGGACGAGCGCGGGCAACGCGUGCCUUCAUGUUCUAGUCUUUGUUUGAAAUGGGUACUAGUAAUAACUAUGUAAAAGAACUGUCAAUAAUGUAGGAGUAUGUUGGUUGGAGGGUUUUUCAUAGAACCAUCGGCGCAAUUU
Triticum aestivum (bread wheat) is the source of this 1088-nucleotide long non-coding RNA. RefSeq lists it as uncharacterized. The record is from RefSeq and is a predicted model, not a curated record. The transcript has 4 exons. NCBI's taxonomy places the organism in Eukaryota, Viridiplantae, Streptophyta, Magnoliopsida, Poales, Poaceae.